This 253-nucleotide ribosomal RNA is filed under the name uncultured bacterium. RNAcentral describes it as "partial 16S ribosomal RNA". It matches the Rfam family "Bacterial small subunit ribosomal RNA", at positions 524 to 776 of the family's 1533-position model. The record is from RNAcentral.
UACGUAGGGGGCGAGCGUUGUCCGGAGUUACUGGGCGUAAAGGGCACGCAGGCGGUGCGGCGCGUUUCGCGUGACAGCGGGUGGCUCAACUACCCGAGGAUGCGAAAGACGGCGGCACUUGAGGGCCAGAGAGGGACACGGAAUUCCGGGUGGAGUGGUGAAAUGCGUAGAGAUCCGGAGGAACACCGAAGGCGAAGGCAGUGUCCUGGCUGGUGACUGACGCUGAGGUGCGAAAGCUAGGGGAGCGAACGGG